RNAcentral lists this unclassified non-coding RNA (386 nucleotides) under fungal sp. RNAcentral describes it as "partial internal transcribed spacer region". The stretch from base 1 to 46 matches the Rfam family "Eukaryotic small subunit ribosomal RNA", at positions 1786 to 1831 of the family's 1831-position model. Lineage: Eukaryota; Fungi. The record is from RNAcentral.
AAGUCGUAACAAGGUUUCCGUAGGUGAACCUGCGGAAGGAUCAUUAACACGUAUCCACGUAUCAACCAUUUGUGAACUUGUUAUCAUCUACCUCAAUUGACAGGGAAUGGAUUGGAAUCAUGCUUCAAAGAGAGUGAACUUCUUCGGAAGUGCUUUGAGCUUGACAUACUUAGGUUUCGGCCUAGACAAUCGUAUUUCUGCCAGAGGCUUAGUCUUGACCGAGAGUCUUCAUCUCUCUCUCUGGUCGAGGCGCUUUUAUAAACUUAUUUCACCCCCUUUUUGCUAGUUGACUUUUAUCUGUGAAUUGUAUGCGAAAGUAUGCAACCACACGUUUAAUUAUUUGAACGUUAAAAAUACAACUCUUAGCAAUGGAUAUCUUGGUUCUC